This is a long non-coding RNA of Stegostoma tigrinum, 411 nucleotides long. RefSeq lists it as uncharacterized. The transcript has 3 exons. NCBI's taxonomy places the organism in Eukaryota, Metazoa, Chordata, Chondrichthyes, Orectolobiformes, Stegostomatidae. The record is from RefSeq and is a predicted model, not a curated record.
GGGCGGCCUUGUGCAUAAGAGAGAUAAGUAUGGUGCUUUGUGGGUGAUAUGCCAGGCAUAGCUGAAUAGCUGGCUGUGUAUCCAACCUGAGAGCUUUAAAUGGGAAGGCUUCAACAAUGCUAAGUCCAUGGGGUGAGGUCCCUGGAGUUACAUUGACCACAUAAGCUGCCCGAAGGGCCUUUGGCUGUCUGUGGAAAGACAGCCACUCUUGUCCAGUCUGCCAAGUGUAACAAAGGCUCCGAUGCUGCAAUGUAGGGCACUUAUUUGUGAAGAAUGAAAGAAACACAGAUUUCUCGAGAACCAUGCGUGAACUCAAGACACUGAGCGCCUCAUAGACAAUUAAAUGAUUCGGAAGCACAAACACUGUUAUACUGUGGGAAAUGUGGCAGGGAAUUUGCACUGUACAAGUUA